GCUUCUUCACUUUGAAUUCCUCCUUCAUCGGUUAGGUAUUUGGUAAUUUAGCUUAAUACUUUCGUGAAUUUGAAAAACAUAUAACAGUUCUCCCAGUCCAGAACCAAUCGAUCUCUUAUGAUUCUCUGCUUCAUUAACAAUAGCACAGAUUUAACAAUUCAAGCAAGCACAAUUGAGCUCUGGACCAGUUCAGAGAAGACAUGACAUUAGAACAGCUUCUUAUUCACCUCUUCAAAACCACCUGGUGAAAUCGGAGGGCAUCUACUCUACAUCCGGUACUGCAUGUUCAAGAGGUGUGAUAAGAGGAACUUGAUAAAGAAUACAGAGGGACCUUUUGUCACAGAUACCCACAUCUGUAAUGGUAAUUCUAAAACGUCAAACUGAAUUUGAUUCUGAGCAUCCCUUGGAUCCAAGAUUUUCAGAAUUGAGGAGGAAGCUCUGCUGACCACCUAGGAAAUGACACUU
Molecule: long non-coding RNA, 465 nt
Organism: Tachyglossus aculeatus (Australian echidna)
Lineage: Eukaryota; Metazoa; Chordata; Mammalia; Monotremata; Tachyglossidae
Exons: 3
Source: RefSeq, a predicted model, not a curated record